GACGAACGCUGGCGGCGUGCCUAAUACAUGCAAGUAGAACGCUGAAGGAGGAGCUUGCUUCUCUGGAUGAGUUGCGAACGGGUGAGUAACGCGUAGGUAACCUGCCUGGUAGCGGGGGAUAACUAUUGGAAACGAUAGCUAAUACCGCAUAAUAUUGACUAUUGCAUGAUAGUCAGUUGAAAGGUGCAACUGCACCACUACCAGAUGGACCUGCGUUGUAUUAGCUAGUUGGUGGGGUAACGGCUCACCAAGGCGACGAUACAUAGCCGGCCUGAGAGGGUGAUCGGCCACACUGGGACUGAGACACGGCCCAGACUCCUACGGGAGGCAGCAGUAGGGAAUCUUCGGCAAUGGACGGAAGUCUGACCGAGCAACGCCGCGUGAGUGAAGAAGGUUUUCGGAUCGUAAAGCUCUGUUGUAAGAGAAGAACGAGUGUGAGAGUGGAAAGCUCACACUGUGACGGUAUCUUACCAGAAAGGGACGGCUAACUACGUG
Molecule: ribosomal RNA, 495 nt
Filed under: uncultured bacterium
Lineage: Bacteria
Description: partial 16S ribosomal RNA
Rfam family: Bacterial small subunit ribosomal RNA
Source: RNAcentral